CCAGACUCCUACGGGAGGCAGCAGUGGGGAAUAUUGGACAAUGGGGGGAACCCUGAUCCAGCGACGCCGCGUGAGUGAAGAAGUAUUUCGGUAUGUAAAGCUCUAUCAGCAGGGAAGAAAGAAAUGACGGUACCUGACUAAGAAGCCCCGGCUAACUACGUGCCAGCAGCCGCGGUAAUACGUAGGGGGCGAGCGUUAUCCGGAUUCACUGGGUGUAAAGGGAGCGUAGACGGCCGUGCAAGCCAGGAGUGAAAGCCCGGGGCCCAACCCCGGGACUGCUCUUGGAACUGUGCGGCUGGAGUGCGGGAGGGGCAGGCGGAAUUCCUGGUGUAGCGGUGAAAUGCGUAGAUAUCAGGAGGAACACCGGCGGCGAAGGCGGCCUGCUGGACCGCGACUGACGUUGAGGCUCGAAAGCGUGGGGAGCGAACAGGAUUAGAUACCCCAGUA
This 447-nucleotide ribosomal RNA is filed under the name uncultured bacterium. RNAcentral describes it as "bacterial SSU rRNA". It matches the Rfam family "Bacterial small subunit ribosomal RNA", at positions 331 to 792 of the family's 1533-position model. The record is from RNAcentral.